GAUGAAGAACGUAGCGAAAUGCGAUACUUGGUGUGAAUUGCAGAAUCCCGUGAACCAUCGAGUCUUUGAACGCAAGUUGCGCCCGAAGCCAUUAGGCCAAGGGCACGCCUGCCUGGGCGUCACACGUCGUUGCCCCCCCCAUCUACUCCUUCGGGAUUGCGGGGGGCGGAUGAUGGCCUCCCGUGCGCCUCGCCGCGCGGUUGGCAUAAAUGCCAAGUCCUCGGCGACGCACGCCACGACAAUCGGUGGUUGCGAAACCUCGGUUGCCCGUCGUGUGCGGUCGUCGCGCAUCGAGGGCUCGAAAAAAUUGCCGGGCUCCGGCUCGGCUUUCAACGCGACCCCAGGUCAGGCGGGGUUACCCGCUGAAUUUAAGCAUAUCAAUAAGCGGAGGA
RNAcentral lists this unclassified non-coding RNA (392 nucleotides) under soil metagenome. RNAcentral describes it as "partial contains 5.8S ribosomal RNA, internal transcribed spacer 2, and large subunit ribosomal RNA". The stretch from base 1 to 122 matches the Rfam family "5.8S ribosomal RNA", at positions 35 to 154 of the family's 154-position model. The record is from RNAcentral.